This 908-nucleotide ribosomal RNA is filed under the name Acinetobacter junii. Its description in RNAcentral is "bacterial SSU rRNA". It matches the Rfam family "Bacterial small subunit ribosomal RNA", at positions 8 to 908 of the family's 1533-position model. The record is from RNAcentral. Lineage: Bacteria; Pseudomonadati; Pseudomonadota; Gammaproteobacteria; Moraxellales; Moraxellaceae.
AGAGUUUGAUCAUGGCUCAGAUUGAACGCUGGCGGCAGGCUUAACACAUGCAAGUCGAGCGGAGAUGAGGUGCUUGCACCUUAUCUUAGCGGCGGACGGGUGAGUAAUGCUUAGGAAUCUGCCUAUUAGUGGGGGACAACAUUCCGAAAGGGAUGCUAAUACCGCAUACGUCCUACGGGAGAAAGCAGGGGAUCUUCGGACCUUGCGCUAAUAGAUGAGCCUAAGUCGGAUUAGCUAGUUGGUGGGGUAAAGGCCUACCAAGGCGACGAUCUGUAGCGGGUCUGAGAGGAUGAUCCGCCACACUGGGACUGAGACACGGCCCAGACUCCUACGGGAGGCAGCAGUGGGGAAUAUUGGACAAUGGGGGGAACCCUGAUCCAGCCAUGCCGCGUGUGUGAAGAAGGCCUUAUGGUUGUAAAGCACUUUAAGCGAGGAGGAGGCUACUGAGACUAAUACUCUUGGAUAGUGGACGUUACUCGCAGAAUAAGCACCGGCUAACUCUGUGCCAGCAGCCGCGGUAAUACAGAGGGUGCGAGCGUUAAUCGGAUUUACUGNGCGUAAAGCGUGCGUAGGCGGCUUUUUAAGUCGGAUGUGAAAUCCCCGAGCUUAACUUGGGGAAUUGCAUUCGAUACUGGGAAGCUAGAGUAUGGGAGAGGAUGGUAGAAUUCCAGGUGUAGCGGUGAAAUGCGUAGAGAUCUGGAGGAAUACCGAUGGCGAAGGCAGCCAUCUGGCCUAAUACUGACGCUGAGGUACGAAAGCAUGGGGAGCAAACAGGAUUAGAUACCCUGGUAGUCCACGCCGUAAACGAUGAGUGCUAAGUGUUAGAGGGUAUCCACCCUUUAGUGCUGCAGCAAANNCAUUAANCACUCCGCCUGGGGAGUACGGNCGCAAGGCUGAAACUCNAAGGA